This 31-nucleotide non-coding RNA is filed under the name Mus musculus (house mouse). The record is from RNAcentral. Lineage: Eukaryota; Metazoa; Chordata; Mammalia; Rodentia; Muridae. RNAcentral also lists the same sequence under 1 other name.
UAGUACAAAGGUCCAAAAUCAUUCCUGGAGA